Long non-coding RNA from Lolium rigidum, 413 nucleotides. RefSeq lists it as uncharacterized. Lineage: Eukaryota; Viridiplantae; Streptophyta; Magnoliopsida; Poales; Poaceae. The record is from RefSeq and is a predicted model, not a curated record. The transcript is spliced from 3 exons.
CCACCGCCAUGGACCCUCCUAUAACGCAGGAGGGUCCUCCUCAAAUCAUGGGGGAGGGAGGCCGGAGAGUGCAAGCGGAGGUGGGAUUGUGUUAUUACUUGAAUAUGGUUUGAGGAAGAAGAGAAGAAGGAAGUAUCAAGAAGACCAAGAUGGGGCAUUUCGUGAUGAGUUGGAAAUUGGAGGUUGGGGUACAAUUGCCGAGGACUCAACGGGUUAUUAGGUUUUUGUUGCAGCUGGAAUGGUCAACUCACUUGUGCAUUACAGACGACACUUGUGCAUGCAAUUCAAUUCCAUUUACUGAACAAUAUUGUAUUAGUCAGGCUAUUUUUUUUCUAUAGACUGAUUCUCAAGCGGGCAAUGGAUGAUCUCUCAAGGUUGGGAGUGCUCAUUCUUCAAGCCAAGUUCUUGUUGAA